AUGUCCCACCAGCAGCUCACGGGAGAGGAGGUGGGACACGGCAGGGGCGGGGGAACACAGCUGUGCCCCGGGGCUGGGUCCCUGCGCUAUAAAAGUGACUCCAGCAACCGUGUUGGGGAAGAGCAGCAGCCCCGACCUCUGCUCCUGCCUCCCGCAGCCUCCCACAGCUGCCAGGCCCUGAUGAUGAAGGUCCAGGUGCUGACAGUUCUGCCCCUGCUGCUGGCGCAGCUCUCCUUGGCCCCAGCACAGGCUGAGGCACGGGGAGGGAGCCUGCAGAGGCAGCCCAGAGGCUGGGGGCCCCCAGAAGCCCCCCACCCAGCUGGGUCUGGUGGGGACACCCUGCUCGGACAGGGCGCAGAGGGCAGCCACCCCCUGGCUGGAGCAUGGGAGGUGCUGGCUGAGCCCCCCCAAGCCCCCAGCGAGGCCAGGGGCAGCGGGCAGCAGGGCCCCCCCAGCCAGCUCCGCAGGCGCCCACCGCAGCCCUCCCGCAGCAGGAGCCUGGGGCUGAGCCAGCACCUGAAGGGCCACGGCAAGUUCAACGCCGACACGCACUCCUGCCAUGGCAUCCAGCGCCGGCCCUGCCAGAAGCCCUCGGACUGCAGCGGCUGCCUGGGGCUGUACACCUGCAAGCUGCCCGCGGGCACCUGUGGCCUGAAGGCCGUCUCCUGGCAGAGAGGUGGGUUCCUGCGCAGCAUCCAGAGCGCCGGGUGGCACACGGGCACCCUGCUCCCUGAGCCACGCGGCUCCAAGUGAAGCUGGAGAGGCCGUCCUGCAGCUGAGACCGACGUUUCCUGCCCGUGUCUCCUUUUAAAUCCUUAAUUAUACAGCUGUAAAUGUUUCUGUCGCUGUGCUUUUCAUGCUGUUUGGUUUUUAACACCCCUGGAUGCCAUAUGCUGGGUAGGUGUGAGCCCCACUCUCCUUAGCGCUGCUAACAAAAUACCAAGUGGCUGCAGAGCAGCCCCCAAAAGGCACAAAUGUGGCUGUUUUACGACUCGAUUUAUUCUGGGCUGCUAGGAUAUUGCAGGUAAAGCUGCCGGUGUUUGAGCCCGGUCACACAAUAUUGAGUCCAAGCAGCCUGCUCGCAUCGGGAACCCUGGGAAGCCUCCCAGCUCCCUGCUGCAGCGCCCAGGGUGCAGGGCAAAGUCCCACGGUACUGAAACAUUGUGUGGGAAGGGGCACGCGGAGCUCCUGGGCCUGGUGAUGGGCCCACAUCUGCUUCGAGAGGCCUGAACUGAGCCAAAAGCUCAGCUUAACUUACUGCUGUGUGGGGCUUUAUGGGCACCCCAGCAGGCAUGGGUGCUCUUCAGCUUUGCAGAACCCCAUUUUGCUCUCAUUAAAAGAAAAAAACAUCUUUUAAAAAGAGAACAGGGACACAGCAGGUGACCAACCUCACACCACACCGCGGGUUCCCUUGCUGGCACUGCACAUGCUGCUGAUUUUCUCUGCUUGGUGCUGUGGCCUCCUCCACUGUGCAUCGGGCUCACGUGCUGCUCGCCCUCCACCUCCGCAGGCCGGUGGCUGCUGCAAAGCCACCUCCAGGGCCUCCACAGCCUGGCCUUAAAUCCCUUCGGCCUCUGCUCCUUGCACCGCCCCACCCUCACCCCGCACCUCUCCGUGUUGUACAUGUUGUGUGUGAUGCCACAGCUCCUGCCAUCUCUGCAGCCUUCCUGCCUCUCCUGCAUUUCACGGCUCUUCUGCGAGCACAACCAGCACCCGGCUCCUCUCAGUUCCUUUUUCCAAAGCUUUCUCGCUC
Molecule: long non-coding RNA, 1753 nt
Filed under: Anas platyrhynchos platyrhynchos (common mallard)
Lineage: Eukaryota; Metazoa; Chordata; Aves; Anseriformes; Anatidae
Description: lncRNA (ENSAPLG00000028848.1)
Source: RNAcentral